Molecule: ribosomal RNA, 633 nt
Filed under: Holtermanniella wattica
Lineage: Eukaryota; Fungi; Basidiomycota; Tremellomycetes; Holtermanniales
Description: LSU rRNA
Rfam family: Eukaryotic large subunit ribosomal RNA
Source: RNAcentral
GCAUAUCAAUAAGCGGAGGAAAAGAAACUAACAAGGAUUCCCCUAGUAACGGCGAGUGAAGCGGGAUGAGCUCAAAUUUGUAAUCUGGUGGACUCAGUUCAUCCGAGUUGUAAUCUAUAGAAGUGUUUUCCGCGCUGGACCGUGUCUAAGUCCCUUGGAACAGGGUGUCAGAGAGGGUGAGAAUCCCGUGCUUGAUACGACCACCAGUGCUAUGUGAUACACUUUCAACGAGUCGAGUUGUUUGGGAAUGCAGCUCAAAAUGGGUGGUAAAUUCCAUCUAAAGCUAAAUAUUGGCGAGAGACCGAUAGCGAACAAGUACCGUGAGGGAAAGAUGAAAAGCACUUUGGAAAGAGAGUUAAACAGUACGUGAAAUUGUUAAAAGGGAAACGAUUGAAGUCAGUCGUGCUCUCUGGGACUCAGCCGGUUCUUCCGGUGUACUUCCCAGUGAGCGGGUCAACAUCAGUUUAGAUCGCUGGAUAAAGGUAUUAGGAAGGUGGCUCCCUCGGGAGUGUUAUAGCCUAGUAUCGCAUACAGUGGUUUAGACUGAGGAACGCAGCUCGCCUUUAUGGCCGGGGUUCGCCCACGUCCGAGCUUAGGAUGUUGACAUAAUGGCUUUAAACGACCCGUCUUGAA